This is a long non-coding RNA of Diorhabda carinulata, 3795 nucleotides long. RefSeq lists it as uncharacterized. NCBI's taxonomy places the organism in Eukaryota, Metazoa, Arthropoda, Insecta, Coleoptera, Chrysomelidae. The record is from RefSeq and is a predicted model, not a curated record. The transcript has 4 exons.
AUUUUAUUUUACAUGACACCGCCUUAUAAUAUAUAAAUAAUUUUUAAUUAAGAAAUUCCUUGUGUUUAUUCAUAUUGUUAAAGCAUUGUUCGCCAGGUGUUUUGUCCGGAAACGAAUUUUGGUCAUUCUAAAUCGGCAAACAAUGAGUGACCAAGAAAAUCCUCCUGUAGAUCAAAAUACUAAAACUACGCCAACAGAGACGACAACGGACUCCGCAACAGAGGAAAGUGAGAAACCUCAUUCCAGAAGGAAAAGAGCAAUUAUAGACGUUCCCUCAAGGAACGACAUUGGACCGGACGGACAGGAGGUGGAAGAAUUUUAGUUAAGUUUUAUUAUAACGUAAUAUAGUAUUAUUAAGCACAAAUUUAAUUUUAUUAUGUGGAAUUAAGAAUGGAUUUUUUUAGUGUCGCUAACAAAUAAUUACGAUCAUCUGCUGUAAUGAAAUAAAAUGAAUAAAUGUCUUUUGAAUACAUAUCUUUGUGUUAAUGCCCAAAAAAUUUAACAAUAUUCAAAAUGAUUAUUUGCGUUGUUUGGGAUAAAUACAUAAAUACAGAAUGAUUGAAAUACAUUUUGAACGAAUGAAAUAAUUUAAUCAACUAAGCAGAUUGCGAAGGUAAGUGAUCACCUUCAUUAAUAACUAUUAGACUAUAUGUGAUUAUCCCAGAAGUUUAAUAUACUUCUCACAUUCUACAUUUACAUCUGAUAUUGUUUUCCGCUUUCGAUACUAGGAAAGUCCGAUAUAUUUUCGGUCAGAUGGAAAAUAGAUGACCUUUUGGUAUGGUAAAUUCAGCCAGAGAAAUUUGGGAUGCAAUAUUUGUACAUGUAAACUCGGCAAGAUUUUAGAGUGUCACUUUAAAACCAAAAUGAUUAUGAUUUUCCAAGAAUUUUCUUAAGUAUCCGUUAUACUUAGGUAUUUCCAAUCGUUUAUAAUAUUCAUUUAAAUAUAAUUUAUGGAUUUUUUUUGUAUUUAUGUAUUAAAAUGUUUUCGAACACUAACCUGCCUCCUGUACUCAGGUUCUUGAAGCACUUUUUGGCCGAAUUUACGAGUGAUUUUAAACUGACCUUUGUGAAACCGUAGGUCAAGUAAUUGAUUUGGCCGAAUCUACAUUCCCCGAAGUUCGCAAGAAUGAUCAGUAAACAUGAACUGAUACAAUGGUUUUUCAUACAAUGACAAUUCAUAUAAGAAAAAUUGGUCUUCUCAAAAUAAAAUGACCUGUUAGUAAAAUUACAGUUAAUGCUCUGAUUAAUGUAUUCUUCUUUUCUGGUCAUAAUUUGAAAGAUUGUCUUGGGCUCACUAAAUUUUAAAGUUUUAUAAAAAGUUUUAUAAUCGUAAAAUGAUGGGACGAAUUUCUACACACAUUGUGUAUCUUACGUAGGGGGAGCCAAACAACCCUUUCUGUAGUGCCUCAACAUAAGCUUGCUUGGCCAGCAUUGGAAUAAAAUAUUAAAGGCUUUAUACCUGCAAAUGUGUCUUCGAUGCACCCUCCUAUAUAACCUUUACGCUCGAACCACCGUGCGUUUGAUGCACGUAUUCUAUUUUUAAAGCAAUUAUUGUAAGCAUAUUAAAAAACAUUAAGCAUAAAUUUGAAAUAAAAAUUUCGAAAUUGCACAGACAACAUCCCAUAGUAUUUAGUAACACGGGUUUUGAAUUUGAGCAACGAAUAUUCAAGCAAUUUCUUUAUAUAACUUGCCAAUGAAAUGCUAUAUGAGAAUAAGCUUUAUUCAUCAUUACACCAUUACUAAAAAACAAUGUUUAAGUUGGAAAAUGAACGUUGAAUGUCUUUUUACAAGACGUUAUCUGUACGAGCACAUGAUCAAGUCUAAUAAUCACUGUUAUAUCUUACCAUAAGUUAACUAUACUUUCAGGCUUCUCUCUACGGUUCAAGUGCUUGUUUUUCCACAUUCGUUAAUAAUAUUAAUAUAACCUUGAAACCUUUUUUAAAUCCUCUGUCUAUCGUAGUGCAUAUUGAAAUAUAAAUAAUUAAGUAGUCAAAAUACUUGAAUUUCAAGGUACUUCACUUUUAUCUAGUGAUUUUCUAUAGAAUAUAAAGUGCACAUAAUUAUUGUAUAGAAAAUAUUUUUCCUCAAUUUCUGAUUACUUCGACCUUUUGAUAUAUUAAUGCAUCUAAAUUUUCUUGAUUUUAGAUCUCUUCUAUUUUAAAAUUAGUUUAAAUUAGUUUUUUUAAUAAUUAUUGGAAGAUAAAAUUUGAUGUAUUGACUUUUCUUUAAGUCUUUGUCAAACUAUGAUAUUGACACUAACAAUUCGCGCAUUUAUAUCAGUCAAUAGAUCACCUACAUCAUGAAUAUUAGAAUAAAAAUAAAAAUAAAAUUAAAAUAGAAAAUGUUCUGAGAAAAAUUAAUUUUAGUUUUAUUAGAAUUUCCAAAAUAAAGCUAUAAAUUUUACAUAAAUUAUUUAGGUCUUUUUUAUCAUUUAUAGCUUUUUCGUUUUUAUGAAUGUGAACAAUUUCUAAAAAUUAUCUUUUUCUUGUAUUAGAUUCCGUUCCAAGAAUUUUUGAAUCUUAAUCAUUGAAGUUUUUUUUUGAUAUUUCAUGUUUAGUUAAGGCAGUUUUACCGUAUUGAUGACUUUUUAGUCUAUUUUAUAAAUAUUGAGAGGUUUGCCCUAUGUACACUACUAUAUUUUCAAGAUGUGAGGACUAAGAAAAAAUUAAUUUUUCUUAUUAGAACAUUUUCUAUUUUGAUUUUAUUCUUAUUUUGAUAUUCAUGAUGUAGGUGAUCUAUUGAUUAAUAUAAAUGCGCAAAUUGUCAAUGUCAAUAUCAUAUUUUGAUAAAGACUUAUAGAAAAGUCGAAACAUCAAAUUAUUACAAAAAUUUUUAGAAAAACUAAUUUUAAAACAGAAGAGACCUAAAAUCAAGAACGAUUAGUGAAAAUAUUCUUUUUAACCUGAUCUAUAAAACUAAGAAUUCCAUGAAUAUAUUAAUAAAUUAACAUCAAAACUGAAACAUCCUGAAAUCAUAUGAUUUGAAAAGGCAUUUUCAUAAACGUACAUGAUACAUACAAGGUUUGUCUGAAAAGUUUCCAACCUAACAAAAAGCAAGACAUUCUCUUUCCAUAUUUCUUCAAUUUUUAUAUAGUGGUUAAGAUUUUUUCAGUUUUCUAAAUCAAAAUAUAUCAAAUUGGAAACAAAGAAAAACCGAAAAUAUAACCAAAAAACUAAUAAUAUUCAUAUCAAAUAUAUAAUUGAGAAUAAUAAACUCGACAUGAAUAUUUUCCUCGAUUUCUUAUGCUCAAUAAAACUCAAUUAAUAUUUUAUAUAUUAUAGGAAUAGGUAAACAAAAUAUAUCUAAAAAUAUUUUGGUACGCUUGUGCUAUUCAACAAUAUACGGAAUAAAUUUCUCUUAUAUUAAUCAACGAAUUUAGUUUCAUGGCCAUAUUUCGCAAAAACUGUUUCGCUGUUUCGCUGUUGUGUCGUUUCGGUUUUUUUCAUAAUAAGUAUUCUUCUAACAGAAAUCCGCAAACAAUGAGUGACCAAGAAAAUCCUCCUGCAGACCAAAAUACUAAAACUACGCCAACAGAGAUGACAACGGACUCCACAACAGUGGAAAAUGAGAAAUCUCAUUCCAGAACUAAAAGAUCUAUUAUAGAUGUUCCUUUGAGAAUCGACAUUGGACCAGAUGGAAAACAGGUGACAGAGUUUAGUUAAGUUUCACUAUAACUAUCGUAAAGUGGUAUUAUUAAGCCCAUCAUUCUUUGUAUCACUGGAUAAUAAUUGUAUAACUCUGCUGUAAUGAAAUUUAUUGAAAUGAAAUAGAUUAAAUAAAUGCCUUUGGAUUACA